Molecule: transfer RNA, 77 nt
Filed under: Microgenomates bacterium OLB23
Lineage: Bacteria; Candidatus Microgenomatota
Description: tRNA-Glu
Rfam family: tRNA
About the family: Transfer RNA (tRNA) molecules are approximately 80 nucleotides in length. Their secondary structure includes four short double-helical elements and three loops (D, anti-codon, and T loops).
Source: RNAcentral
GGCCCCGUCGUCUAGCGGCCUAGGACAUCAGGUUUUCAUCCUGAGAAUCAGGGGUUCGAAUCCCCUCGGGGUCACCA